This 41-nucleotide transfer RNA is filed under the name Gymnema inodorum. RNAcentral describes it as "partial tRNA-His". The record is from RNAcentral. Lineage: Eukaryota; Viridiplantae; Streptophyta; Magnoliopsida; Gentianales; Apocynaceae.
AGAGAGUGAGGGGGCGGAUGUAGCCAAGUGGAUCAAGGCAG